Molecule: ribosomal RNA, 437 nt
Filed under: uncultured bacterium
Lineage: Bacteria
Description: bacterial SSU rRNA
Rfam family: Bacterial small subunit ribosomal RNA
Source: RNAcentral
CGGAAUUACUGGGCGUAAAGCGCACGCAGGCGGUUUGUUAAGUCAGAUGUGAAAUCCCCGCGCUUAACGUGGGAACUGCAUUUGAAACUGGCAAGCUAGAGUCUUGUAGAGGGGGGUAGAAUUCCAGGUGUAGCGGUGAAAUGCGUAGAGAUCUGGAGGAAUACCGGUGGCGAAGGCGGCCCCCUGGACAAAGACUGACGCUCAGGUGCGAAAGCGUGGGGAGCAAACAGGAUUAGAUACCCUGGUAGUCCACGCUGUAAACGAUGUCGACUUGGAGGUUGUGCCCUUGAGGCGUGGCUUCCGGAGCUAACGCGUUAAGUCGACCGCCUGGGGAGUACGGCCGCAAGGUUAAAACUCAAAUGAAUUGACGGGGGCCCGCACAAGCGGUGGAGCAUGUGGUUUAAUUYGAUGCAACGCGAAGAACCUUACCUACUCUU